Molecule: ribosomal RNA, 164 nt
Filed under: uncultured bacterium
Lineage: Bacteria
Description: partial 16S rRNA
Rfam family: Bacterial small subunit ribosomal RNA
Source: RNAcentral
UAGGGAAUCCUCCACAAUGGACGCAAGUCUGAUGGAGCAACGCCGCGUGAGUGAAGAAGGGUUUCGGCUCGUAAAGCUCUGUUGUUAAAGAAGAACGUGGGUAAGAGUAACUGUUUACCCAGUGACGGUAUUUAACCAGAAAGCCACGGCUAACUACGUGCUAG